This 850-nucleotide long non-coding RNA is filed under the name Callithrix jacchus (white-tufted-ear marmoset). RNAcentral's name for it is "lncRNA (ENSCJAG00000071454.1)". Lineage: Eukaryota; Metazoa; Chordata; Mammalia; Primates; Cebidae. The record is from RNAcentral.
UACAUUAUGCUCUUGCUUCAUUUAUAACAGUGAAGACUGGUGAAGAAUGUUCUUCCUCAGAUAUUCCUAAAAGAGAAUUCACCCAAAGUUGCAUUUUGCUUGUUUCACUGGUAGGAAAGAUGAGAUAGAGAAAAGGGACUGAUAAAUUAUUUAUGAACAAGACUGCUUCACUGAUCAGAUUUGGUGAUGAAAACUUCUUUGAAAACCCAUGAGGAACAUUCUUAACGGAAAUUAUUUGCACUUCUCUUGGGCUGUCACUUUUUUCCCCCUGCUAUUACUUUGAUUUUGGCUUCGCAGUCACCACUGUGCAGAAACCUAACAGCAAACACAAUGAAAAGCCUUUCCACAUGAUUAUUUUCGAAAGUAAUAAGACAUGUGUGACCUGGAAAAUCAGCCCUUCCGACGUGUCAGCACGAACUCUUCCUUGAAUAGACCUUACCUGAGCAAAUGGAACCAUAAACACCAAUGGAGAAAGAUGCAGAGCCUCUUCUCAUACCCUCGCAGGCAUCUCACAUUGCCAGGAAUUGGUUCUUAGGCCACAGUUACUUCUGCAGUUAUCCUCAGUCAGGGCUGUGUGAAUGCUGAAAUGUACUAAUUUCAAAAGUCAUGCUGGCCUUUGGAUCAAAUGAAGGUAAACUAGAUAUGCCUCCAACCCACCUAUUCUCUAGCCCCAUGGGCCCUGAGGACCACUAGGUACUCUACAAUUUGCACUGUAGGAUAUGAGAUGCUGAAAAACUUGGAAAUGAAUGCAACUCAUUCUGCUCUAACCAUAUGGGUUCCUGCCAAGUUCAUCCAGGGAAGUGAAGCAUAAAAGAAAGGGGGAAAUGGCAAGGCAAGGCGAAACUUCCUU